UGUGUCAGUCCUGUUUGUAUAUAUGUCUUGCUUCUGCCUUUGGACCAUACUUUCAUUUCCCAGACUGUCUUCUGCUCUGUUUGCCUGGUUACCUGGUUAGACCACAGUAAGUUUUCUUUGGUUUCCCUGCUCGGCAGCGCUUUCUGUCAUGUUAAUAAACCCCUGGCCUUGGAACCGUGUGCCUCCCAUCUCUGCAUUUUGGGUCCUUUAUACUCAUCAAGCCUUAUACCUGACACGAAUGGGGACACAAAUGUGGGCGAGCACCCAAGUUGAACUCUAUGCCAAGUAAACUGAUGUGGUGGAGGUGAAGUUCUAGUGGUGCGUCGAUGGAUGGAAUUUAUUUCAGACUCAGUCCAAUCAAUAAAAGAGUACACAGACUCACUACAUUUAAAAAGCACAGUGUCAAGAAUAGACAAGUUAAGAAGCAGUAUACAAAAUAUUACAAUGGUUAAUAAAGAAAUAAAUUAAUUAAAAGAAUAAGAGGAAAAUAAGGUGAAAACACUACUGAUACAUACCACAUCAUAAAUGGGACAAAUAAGAAGACAGUCCCUCCAGUGUUUCAAUGACUUUGACUAGAAGCGUAUGGCACGAAAUCUAAUGUUACAUAUAGCCAAGAUGAGAGUAUUCUCAGCCCAUAACUACCAUUCUCUCAAACUGCCAGCAGGGGGCGACACUUGUAUUUACAAAAUUAGGCUGACUAUCAAAAGUUGCAUUUAUUUUUCUUUCAAUGACCGUUUUAUCAGCGAUACCCAGCCAUUGGUUAUGAUUAUUAUUAUUUUUGAAUGAUCGUAACAUCAAGAGAGGAUUUUUAAGGCUUUACAGAGAAUCUUACUGGGGUGGAGGGGAAAUGCAAGCGACUCUUCUUGUUUUUUUGUUUUUUUUUGCAUUUAAUCAUUGAACUUUUGCCAAUAAUUAAGUAUAAAAUUGUAACUAGUAGUUUUAUUUGAUAGUUGAAUGUUUAUGGAGAUUUCUUUGUCGAAGAAAGAUUCACUGAAUCAGAUGAAAAUUUUCCUCCGCUUUUACCUCCAUGUAUUCUUGUUUUCACACUUGACUGAGAAUAAAUUAAACGCUAUGUUUCCACGCAUUUUUAGCAUCAAUAUUUUGUAGGAUCUGGGGAUGCAUUAAACUUUGAGCAACAUAAUGAGAGAGCAAUAACCAACAGCAAGAGAUCAGCACAGCUGCAGCAUCAUUUAAAUGUGGCGAGAUGGAUUAUCUGAUACCAGAUGCUCUGCAGGGUGGCACUGAACACGGAUUAUGUUCGCAUCCUAACCGUCAGUCCCUGAGCGGUGGCAGUUUGGAUUGGGACAAGAUGGGAAAUUAAGGUUUUGCACGCCCACAAAAGAAGGUGAUGUCAAACUUGGACAGGCAGUCUGAAAAUGGUGGAAACAAUGUUUUUUUUUUUUUUAAUUGGCUGCAGCUCGAGGGCAACAUCGAAAGCUGAACAAAAAGUUUGAAACCAUAAAUGUUUUUGUUUAGAAAAAAGCUAAAGAAGUUGAAAUGUGUACCCUGAAGCAGGAUGAGAGCACUGAACUCACCACGCAACACUGUCACAGGUGUUGCUGAAGACAUUUCCUACUUUUGCUGUAAGGCUGGUGGAGGAGUUUUUCACAGUGACAGAUUUUCAGCAUUGUUUUGUUUUCUCACAGUUGACAUUACUGUCAAGGUAAACCUCAUGGAUCAAAUGAAGUUUUGCUGCUGUUUAGAUCCCUAAGUGUUGGAGAGGCUGUCAUGCUGGAGGCCGCACUCUGCUGAAUUCUUGCAUCUUUCUUCAGUGUCUCUUAAGUCACUGUACUUGAAGGACUGUUUUGUCAUUUCACCAUUUGCAAAAUGACAAUGUUGCACCGACAGUUAGUGAUGCAGCAGCAACUCCGACUGCCAACACUUUAUCAUAAUUACUGAGGCAGUGACAUAAGUGCUUUUAAUAAAAAGGAGUAUCGGCUG
Non-coding RNA from Oryzias latipes (Japanese medaka), 1941 nucleotides. NCBI's taxonomy places the organism in Eukaryota, Metazoa, Chordata, Actinopteri, Beloniformes, Adrianichthyidae. The record is from RefSeq and is a predicted model, not a curated record.